CGCGCGACGUGCGAAGGGCUCGGGCGGGCGGGUUGCGGUGACUCCGAGCCCCGCACCGCACCGCAGCGCCGCGCCCCCGGCCGGCUCCGGCCCCGCGUUAUUUAUUUAUUUAUUUAUUUAUAUCCGCCCCUCCACCUCCCCCGCAUUAUUUAUUUAAGACAUAUUAACAAGUCUUGCGUGAUGACGGGUGGGAAAGAGGGGGGGACGCCACACCCCCGCACCCCUCCGAAGGCCUGCGAGGGCGAAGACUCUUCUCGGCUGCACAGUCCCUGAGCACCCCGGGGGUUCGGCGCACACACCCCCCCCAACCCCGCGGUUGCGUGAAGGGGGGGUGGGAGGUGUCGGGGGGCAGAUCGUGACCUCCCCCACCACCCCCGUCCCGGCCCCGAGCAGGUCUCACCCUCCCCGAGGUGCAGGUCUGGAGCAGGGGAGCAGCCCCCCACCCUGCCCGCCGGGUCGCGGGGCGGGGGUACCGACUGCAGCCCCGCGGUGCGGGGAUCGGGGCAGCGGCAGCGCCCUCGCCUCGCCUCCCUUUCCAUCCCCUCCCCUCCCCUUUUUUCCAUCCGCUCCCCUCCCCUCCCCUUCCCUCCCGGCGCGGCGCCGGCCCCCGCCCCCGCCGCGGCAGGAGUCUCCCGGCCGGGGGCGGCGGGAGCGGGGGGAGGACCGGGGCUGGAAAGGUGAGCGCUCGGAUUGCCGGAGCGCCGGUCCCGACCCGCGCGUACCGAAACGAAGCUGCCAUUUGUGAGCUGUGAGUGACGAGCGUGUGUGUCUUUUAAUUUUCCCACUGCCACUACUACCAGCUUCCUCCUGUGUUUUCAGUGAUGGUACCCUGCAGAUGUGAGUGGCUGGCUGAGAGGGCCAUGCUGCUGGGCCAGGCAGCAGCUGCCUUGAAAGGCUGGCAGUUAAAUCAUUCAUCCAGUAAGCAGAUUUUUGAAUCUUGACGCAACUGAAUGCCUCCUGUUCCACCGUACAGCAGUGGCCUUGAUCACAAAAAUCUGUGACCUCCUGAGACAUGAGCAGCAAGUUGGCAAAGAACUGGUUAUCCUCUUCAUUAAAGAAGUCCACUUACACAGAGGCACAGAACCCCAUCCUCCAUCUGCCUCUUCAAGGCAUGCUUAUAGGAUGUCAUCUACUGAGACAGGGGACACUGUGGGAAAAAUCUGUUGCACAAAAAGCCCAGUUAUUGUUAUCUUCAGAACCCCAAAUCCAGGCUUUUCUCACUUUUGUCUUCCCCUAGCAAUGUCAUCAAAAUGGACAUCCUAGCACUCAACUCUCUCUGAACAGUGAGGAAAAUGUUCUUAUCUAUUUUCACAUGUAAUUUCAUGUGUUAGGUAGAAUAUAAUCACUGAAUAUGCUGUGGGAGAGACUAAAGUUGCUAAGUGCCUUUCUAAAUUGCAUUUAAAUAUUCAAAUUAACAGGAAAUUUUUAGGGUUUAUUUGAAUUUUAAAAUUUCCAUGGCAGAUUGUUUUCUAAACCUUUUCUGUUAUUAAAGAAGCUUAGUUAGCCUGCUGAGGUUGGCUUAAAACAUUAAUAAUAAUUGGCUGGUUGAUAUUUUUUAAUGAGAAAAGUAUUUCUUGGAGAAAUGGGAGUUCAUCCAAAUCAAUAGAAUUUGUGAGAAAAUGUCUAUUUUAAUUAAAUUGAUUAGAUUUCAUGAUCACAGCAUACAUCAGCAGAAAGCUAGUCUCAAGAUUUAUUUGCUUUGUUUUAUAACUAAACCAAAUUAAACCAAAAUUGUUUUCUAUAUGGA
Non-coding RNA from Phalacrocorax carbo (great cormorant), 1747 nucleotides. NCBI's taxonomy places the organism in Eukaryota, Metazoa, Chordata, Aves, Suliformes, Phalacrocoracidae. The record is from RefSeq and is a predicted model, not a curated record.